AUUGAACGCUGGCGGAAUGCUUUACACAUGCAAGUCGAGCGGCAGCGCGGGGGCAACCCUGGCGGCGAGCGGCGAACGGGUGAGUAACAUAUCGGAACGUACCCAGUCGUGGGGGAUAACUAUCCGAAAGGAUAGCUAAUACCGCAUACGUCCUGAGGGAGGAAGCGGGGGAUCGCAAGACCUCGCGCGAUUGGAGCGGCCGAUAUCGGAUUAGCUAGUUGGUGGGGUAAAGGCUCACCAAGGCGACGAUCCGUAGCGGGUCUGAGAGGACGACCCGCCACACUGGAACUGAGACACGGUCCAGACUCCUACGGGAGGCAGCAGUGGGGAAUUUUGGACAAUGGGGGCAACCCUGAUCCAGCCAUUCCGCGUGAGUGAAGAAGGCCUCGGUU
This 392-nucleotide ribosomal RNA is filed under the name uncultured bacterium. RNAcentral's name for it is "bacterial SSU rRNA". It matches the Rfam family "Bacterial small subunit ribosomal RNA", at positions 29 to 424 of the family's 1533-position model. The record is from RNAcentral.